Molecule: ribosomal RNA, 253 nt
Filed under: uncultured bacterium
Lineage: Bacteria
Description: partial 16S ribosomal RNA
Rfam family: Bacterial small subunit ribosomal RNA
Source: RNAcentral
UACGUAGGGGGCGAGCGUUGUCCGGAAUUACUGGGCGUAAAGCGCGCGUAGGUGGCUUGUUAAGACCGAUGUGAAAUCUCCGCGCUUACCGUGGAGAGGUCGUUGGUGACUGGCAGGCUUGGGUUUGGCAGAGGUGAGUGGAAUUCCGGGUGGAGCGGUGAAAUGCGUAGAGAUCCGGAGGAACACCAGUGGCGAAGGCGGCUCACUGGGCCAACACCGACGCUGAGGCGCGAAAGCUAGGGGAGCAAACGGG